GGCUGCGCGACUGGCGGAAAAGCAGGAAGCUGCGGUGGAUCAACCACGAGGGAGUGCAGAGUGGAAAUAUGGCAGGGAGCUUUGGAAAAUGCCAUGUGACUAUUUGGAAAAGCCGACCGCCUGGGCAUG
RNAcentral lists this non-coding RNA (129 nucleotides) under uncultured Acetatifactor sp. The record is from RNAcentral. Lineage: Bacteria; Bacillati; Bacillota; Clostridia; Lachnospirales; Lachnospiraceae.